Molecule: ribosomal RNA, 668 nt
Filed under: Amphibacillus sp. PF2-13
Lineage: Bacteria; Bacillati; Bacillota; Bacilli; Caryophanales; Bacillaceae
Description: bacterial SSU rRNA
Rfam family: Bacterial small subunit ribosomal RNA
Source: RNAcentral
GUCGGAGCGCGUGAASUAAACWGAACUCUUCGGAGUGACGUAUAGSGGWUGGAGCGGCGGAUGGGUGAGUAACACGUGGGCAACCUGCCUAYMAKACUGGGAUAACUUACGGAAACGUGAGCUAAUACCGGAUGAAACCUCUUAUCACCUGGUAAGAGGAUGAAAGAUGGCUUUUAGCUAUCACUUAUAGAUGGGCCCGCGGCGCAUUAGCUAGUUGGUGAGAUAAAAGCUCACCAAGGCAACGAUGCGUAGCCGACCUGAGAGGGUGAUCGGCCACACUGGGACUGAGACACGGCCCAGACUCCUACGGGAGGCAGCAGUAGGGAAUCUUCCGCAAUGGACGAAAGUCUGACGGAGCAACGCCGCGUGAACGAAGAAGGUUCUCGGAUCGUAAAGUUCUGUUGUUAGGGAAGAACACGUACCAUUCGAAUAGGGUGGUACCUUGACGGUACCUAACGAGAAAGCCCCGGCUAACUACGUGCCAGCAGCCGCGGUAAUACGUAGGGGGCAAGCGUUGUCCGGAAUUAUUGGGCGUAAAGCGCUCGCAGGCGGUUUUUUAAGUCUGAUGUGAAAUCUUGCGGCUCAACCGCAAGCGGUCAUUGGAAACUGGAGAACUUGAGGACAGAAGAGGAGAGUGGAAUUCCACGUGUAGCGGUGAAAUGCGUAGA